GCGGGGCGGAGCCCACAGUCCGACCUCCUGCCACUUACUCAGGGGUUGGACUCCUGGGCAGUGACCUCCGGCUACUCUCCUGCUGGUGUGCUUGUACUUCCCUCCGCCGAGUUUUGAGCCCCAAUCUUCCAACCUGUAAGCCCGGGGUUAGCUAUACAUUCUUCGGUCCGUACAUCUAUCCAUUCCUCCCUUUCACCCACCCCUUCACCCAUCCAUCCUUAUGGCGCAUUUGCUUCCCCUGGUUCACCAAAAGUGCUCUCCAGAAAAGCGCUCCAGUCCCAGAGCCGGUUUCAGUCAGGGCAUUGCCAAAGUCAAGUCCAUGCCCUCGGGACCUGGAAGGAGCUUCGGGUCACGGGUGGUGAGAGUGCAAAGUCCAGGGAAAGUGGGGGCCAUUUUAGCAGCAGGACCAGGAUCCUAGUGUGGUUUUUGAACUCAUGAGGACACCUAUAACUUUCUUACUCCAAGGUCCUCGGUCGUUCUUACUGAACCUCUCUUUCUCUGUGUUCUAAGUCACACAACCACUACCUUGUCUAUUCUAGCUCCACCCCCGACCGCCCCCUUCCCCCAAGCUUCUCCUUCCUAGUUCAUCACCACGUACCCGCCUAAGCUCCUCUUAUUCCCCUCUAGUCCCUCCGCACCCCCAUCCAGUGGUCUCACAUAUCCCUGUCCCUCAAGCCCACGCUCACAUCCCUUCCCCGCGAGUCCCCUUAGUGUCCCCCACCCCCACUCAGCUCCUCCCCCUUCCAUCCUUGGUUCCUGCAGGCCAAGGCUGCCGUCUGGCCCCGGUAACUUGAUGCCCGUGACAGUUGGCAGCUGCAGCCGCUUCGGCAGAGAAAAGCGGCAGCCCGGCCAGGAGCGACAGGUGUUGGCCGCGCCUUUGUCUCGCUGGCUUUGUCCCGCAGGCUGCAACAGGCACGCCUGUGUCCGCCAGACGCCCAAGCCCCGCGUCGUCGGCGGUCCAUCUGCCGGCCCUGCCUUGCCGCGGGAGGGCUGUGUGUGUGUGUGUGUGUGUGUGUGUGUGUGUGUGUGUGUGUGUGUGUGUGUGUGUGUGUUCGUGCGCACGCUCCCCCCCCCCUCCCGGCAGUGCCCUUGGAACCUUGGAACCCCUGGCCCUGCUCCAGCUUUCUUGGAUUUCUGCUGCUGCCUUAGAGCCAGCCUUUACAGACUUCAUCCUUAGGCCUGGACACCGAUAAGCACCAUUUCAGUGGCUGCCUGGGCACCAUUCAAGUCUUGGUAACUGGUGCUGCUGGUGCUUCAGUCAGCCUGGCUGGAAGACCUUUGAGGGAGAGAAAGGACAGGCAAAGACUGUUGGGCAGGGAAACCCCUUACCCUCCUAAAGAUGGGUCUGGCAGACUCCCUGUGGCUCCACUACAGAGGAACCUCCAAAGGCUUCAGUUCAGAAACUGGGCCUGCACUAUACGGAACAGACACUAAGGCAGACAACUCCCACCAGGUGGCGCCAGAGAACAGCAGAGACUUGGACUUGGGCCCUAGCUGGCCACAUCCCACCUCUGAAUUUUAAGUACCCAAAUAACCUUUCCUGGGACUUUUUUGGCAGCUGUGGCAACUGGAAAUACGAAGCAAAUCUCAGGGGAACUGGGCCGGACGAGAAGGCGACUGAGCCACGGGCUCCGGCCACUGCCUGGCUAUCACUGCUCGUGCUUUCUAACUCAGGAGUGGCACUGCUGAACUUGCUUUCUCAGGGACAGGAACAGAGAGGGACGUACGGAUCUCCUCCAGUGAGACUCCUCUUGACCAUUGCUGUCGCUGGAUGAUGUCUGGCUCAUGAGGUGUUCGUGGGAUCCGUUACUGCCCAGGCUCCCAUAGCCACUGGAGCCGCUGUGGGGGACAGGCUGGGGGAAAAGCAAACAGAUCACGGUAGACAGGGGUAGAAGAGGUCACCACAAGUCAAGCUCAAACAGUGGUCUCAGCCAGCCCACAGUUACUCAGAGAAGACAAGUGCAGGGGAGCUUGAACCCCAAGGUGUCUGGCCUUCAUUCUUGGUGUCCUAAUAAUCUCUGGUGUGUAGUCACCAAGAAGAUUCCAUUAAAAGGCACAUGUUUAGGUGAUGCAGGCAGGCCCAUGCCUGGAAUCCCAGCACUUGGGAGGCAGAGAGGUGGGUGGACCUCUGUGAGUUUGAGGCCAAUCAGGUAUAGAGAGGGAGUUCAAGGCCAGCCAAGAGCACACGGAAAGACCCAUCUCAACAUCCCCUUACCCCCCAAAAGAAAACAAAGGGCGAAGAUAAAAAGGAACAUGUUUGUGAGGGUUUGAAUAUGCUUGGCCUAUGGGAGUGGCACCAUUAGGAGGUGUGGCCCUGUUGGAUCAAGUGUGUCACUACGUAGGUGGGCUUUGAGGGCUCCUAAUGCUCAGGCUCCAUCCAGUAUGGAAGAGAACCUCCUCCUGGCUGCCUUCCAAUCAAGAUGGAGAACUUGUAACUCCUCCAGCACCAUGUCUGCCUGGAUGCUGCCAUGUUCCCACCAUGAUGAUAAUGGACUGAGCCUCUGAAACUGUAAGCCAACCCCAAUUAAAUGUUUGCCUCA
This is a non-coding RNA of Rattus norvegicus (Norway rat), 2540 nucleotides long. The record is from RefSeq and is a predicted model, not a curated record. NCBI's taxonomy places the organism in Eukaryota, Metazoa, Chordata, Mammalia, Rodentia, Muridae.